This 443-nucleotide ribosomal RNA is filed under the name uncultured bacterium. RNAcentral's name for it is "partial 16S ribosomal RNA". It matches the Rfam family "Bacterial small subunit ribosomal RNA", at positions 338 to 795 of the family's 1533-position model. The record is from RNAcentral.
CCUACGGGUGGCAGCAGUGGGGAAUAUUGGGCAAUGGGCGCAAGCCUGACCCAGCAACGCCGCGUGAAGGAAGAAGGCUUUCGGGUUGUAAACUUCUUUUGUCAGGGACGAAGCAAGUGACGGUACCUGACGAAUAAGUCACGGCUAACUACGUGCCAGCAGCCGCGGUAAUACGUAGGUGGCAAGCGUUAUCCGGAUUUAUUGGGUGUAAAGGGCGUGUAGGCGGGAGCGCAAGUCAGAUGUGAAAACUCAGGGCUCAACCCUGAGCCUGCAUUUGAAACUGUGUUUCUUGAGUGCUGGAGAGGCAAUCGGAAUUCCGUGUGUAGCGGUGAAAUGCGUAGAUAUACGGAGGAACACCAGUGGCGAAGGCGGAUUGCUGGACAGUAACUGACGCUGAGGCGCGAAAGCGUGGGGAGCAAACAGGAUUAGAUACCCCGGUAGUC